UUCGCCGCCGGUGACGUUGUGAGAAGUUCAUUAAACCUUAUCAUUUAGAGGAAGGAGAAGUCGUAACAAGGUUUCCGUAGGUGAACCUGCGGAAGGAUCAUUG
This 103-nucleotide ribosomal RNA is filed under the name Rhynchostegium murale. RNAcentral describes it as "partial 18S ribosomal RNA". It matches the Rfam family "Eukaryotic small subunit ribosomal RNA", at positions 1729 to 1831 of the family's 1831-position model. RNAcentral also lists the same sequence under 2 other names. The record is from RNAcentral. Lineage: Eukaryota; Viridiplantae; Streptophyta; Bryopsida; Hypnales; Brachytheciaceae.